This 803-nucleotide ribosomal RNA is filed under the name uncultured Pelagibacteraceae bacterium. RNAcentral describes it as "bacterial SSU rRNA". It matches the Rfam family "Bacterial small subunit ribosomal RNA", at positions 36 to 887 of the family's 1533-position model. Lineage: Bacteria; Pseudomonadati; Pseudomonadota; Alphaproteobacteria; Candidatus Pelagibacterales; Candidatus Pelagibacteraceae. The record is from RNAcentral.
CUGGCGGCACGCCUAACACAUGCAAGUCGAACGAAGUAGCAAUACUUAGUGGCAGACGGGUGAGUAACAUGUAGGUAUCUGCCCUUUGGCCUGGAAUAACACGAGGAAACUUGUGCUAAUACCGGAUAAGUCUUCACGGAGAAAGCUUUAUGCACCAUUGGAUGAGCCUGCACUUGAUUAGUUUGUUGGUAGGGUAAUGGCCUACCAAGACUGUGAUCAAUAGCUGAUUUGAGAGGAUGAUCAGCCACAUUGGGACUGAGACACGGCCCAAACUCCUACGGGAGGCAGCAGUGGGGAAUCUUGCACAAUGGAGGAAACUCUGAUGCAGCGAUGCCGCGUGAGUGAAGAAGGCCUUUGGGUUGUAAAGCUCUUUCGUCGGGGAAGAAAAUGACUGUACCCGAAUAAGAAGGUCCGGCUAACUUCGUGCCAGCAGCCGCGGUAAUACGAAGGGACCUAGCGUAGUUCGGAAUUACUGGGCUUAAAGAGUUCGUAGGUGGUUGAAAAAGUUGGUGGUGAAAUCCCAGAGCUUAACUCUGGAACUGCCAUCAAAACUUUUCAGCUAGAGUUUGAUAGAGGAAAGCAGAAUUUCUAGUGUAGAGGUGAAAUUCGUAGAUAUUAGAAAGAAUACCAAUUGCGAAGGCAGCUUUCUGGAUCAUUACUGACACUGAGGAACGAAAGCAUGGGUAGCGAAGAGGAUUAGAUACCCUCGUAGUCCAUGCCGUAAACGAUGUGUGUUAGACGUUGGAAAUUUAUUUUCAGUGUCGCAGCGAAAGCGAUAAACACACCGCCUGGGGAGUACGACC